Molecule: non-coding RNA, 247 nt
Filed under: Clostridiales bacterium
Lineage: Bacteria; Bacillati; Bacillota; Clostridia; Eubacteriales
Description: T-box sequence
Rfam family: T-box leader
About the family: Uncharged tRNA acts as the effector for transcription antitermination of genes in the T-box leader family.
Source: RNAcentral
AAGAAACCUAUGAUUGAGAAAAGUAAGUUAAAUUGGGUGUAUACAGAGAGUUGUCAGCGCUGAGAAGACAGCAGCAUAGAUUUUUCCGAAUGGUCUCAAGAGGGCGGCUUGAACCUCUUUAUUGAGUAGUAGAUGUCGACGGAGUGCUCACCGUUACUUAGAGCAGAUGUAUGAUUGUACAUUGAUUAAGAGGGCGUUUCGCCAAAUUGGGUGGUACCGCAGAAGCAUAGCAGCUUUUGUCCCAUGU